AGCCCAACCCCUGAAGUUUCCAGGGCAGGAGGAUCCCAGAGUUACCUGAGCACACUCAGGGGCUCNCAGGAAUGCAUCCAGAGCAGCUGGUGCCCCCCGUGCCGAGCUCCAGCCUUUACUCCAAAGGGAGGAGUUUCCAGGAUCCCACGGGGGGUUCCAGUGCCCCCGCAGUGCCCCCGGGCCGGGCUGGCAGUGAGCUGGGGGCCUGGAACGACACAGAAUUCCAUCGAUCCCAGCUCCAGGUGCUCCCCUCACCUGGCCCCGCUCUCCCACGGCCCCGAGGGACCUGGGUGUCCCCUCCCCGGGCAGCCGUGUCCCCUCCGACGCUGCCAUCGCCAGGUACAAAGUGCAAAAGUGUUGCUGUUCCUGCAUCCAUUAAAAACUUUAAAAAACAGAACAAAACAAACAGAAAAAAGGAUUUCCAUCAUCAUUUGCAAAUACAUUAAUUCAGUUUCCAAAGAGCCAGCAAAGCCCUGGUCACCUCCUCGUGGGCCAACACGGACACUGGGCAGGCCCAGCCCAGCUCCUGCCCCGAUCCAGCAGAGCCCAGGGGAGGCCAGAGCAGUGCUGGGACCCGGGGACACCCCGGGACAGCCGGGCUCUGGCUGGGGACACCCCGGGACAGCCGGGCUCUGGCUGGGGACGAGCCCGGCCUCGGCCCUGCCCGAAUGCAAGCCCUCCCUGCUCCCUCCCGUGGAAGUGUUGGCAUUCCUCCUCUGCUGUGAAAUGUUUCUGGUAAGGCUUUAUUGCUCUACAAAGCGGUGCAAAGGCUGCCCGAGGACAGCUCCAUCAGGAACUUUGGUCACACGGCUGCGGGAUUUGUGCGCUGGCCCCGGCCGCCGCUGGACCUGCUACCUUCCCAAGAGAAGCUGAAUACUGUGUGCAAUAACACUGGGAAAACAGCACUGAACCCCAAAUCCAAAACAAAAACCAGGGGCACGGGGAAGGGGACAACUGAAAUCAGGCAGAAGGCUUGGGAAGAGCCCGUCAUUCCCGUGAGGACUGAACUCAAUGCUACAUUUCGACAAUGCCGAGUGUCUUUCCGAACGGAUCGGUGCUGUUGGAUCUGCGUGUCUGGUCCUGAACGCCAGCUCGCUCUCAUCAAUGCAGCAUUUAUUAAAAAAUAAAAUUAAAAAGAAGAAAAAAAAAAAAAAAAAA
This 1158-nucleotide long non-coding RNA is filed under the name Parus major (Great Tit). RNAcentral describes it as "lncRNA (ENSPMJG00000003471.1)". The record is from RNAcentral. Lineage: Eukaryota; Metazoa; Chordata; Aves; Passeriformes; Paridae.